GAUGAACGCUGGCGGCGUGCCUAAUACAUGCAAGUCGAGCGAACGGACGAGAAGCUUGCUUUUCUGAUGUUAGCGGCGGACGGGUGAGUAACACGUGGAUAACCUACCUAUCAGACUGGGAUAACUUCGGGAAACCGGAUCUAAUACCCGAUAAUAUUUUGAACCUCAUUGUUCAAAAGUGAAAUACGGUCUUUCUGUCACUUAUAGAUGGAUCCGCGCUGCAUUAGCUAGUUGGUAAGGUAACGGCUUACCAAGGCAACGAUGCAUAGCCGACCUGAGAGGGUGAUCGGCCACACUGGAACGGGGACACGGUCCAGACUACUACGGGAGGCAGCAGUAGGGGAUCUUCCGCAAUGGGCGAAAGGCUGACGGAGCGACGCCGCGUGAGUGAUGAAGGUCUUCGGGUCGUGAAACUCUGGUAUUAGGGAGGAACAUAUGUGUAAGUAACUGGGGACGUCAUUGCGGGUACUAGGAAGAAAGGCACGGCUAAACACGGUC
Molecule: ribosomal RNA, 498 nt
Filed under: uncultured bacterium
Lineage: Bacteria
Description: partial 16S ribosomal RNA
Rfam family: Bacterial small subunit ribosomal RNA
Source: RNAcentral